Malus domestica (apple) is the source of this 89-nucleotide non-coding RNA. The record is from RefSeq and is a predicted model, not a curated record. NCBI's taxonomy places the organism in Eukaryota, Viridiplantae, Streptophyta, Magnoliopsida, Rosales, Rosaceae.
CCUUCUCCAAAUAUUCUGAUUACCUCAACAAUCUUAAUGACAAGCGGGAAAGGGUCGUAAAAGCAAGUCGCGAUAUCACCAUUAAUAGC